This 305-nucleotide ribosomal RNA is filed under the name uncultured bacterium. RNAcentral's name for it is "bacterial SSU rRNA". It matches the Rfam family "Bacterial small subunit ribosomal RNA", at positions 333 to 635 of the family's 1533-position model. The record is from RNAcentral.
UUUUGCCUACGGGGCGCAGCAGUGAGGAAUAUUGGUCAAUGGGCGAGAGCCUGAACCAGCCAAGUCGCGUGAAGGAUGACGGCCCUACGGGUUGUAAACUUCUUUUGUCAGGGAGCAAUUGAGUCCACGUGUGGGCUUAGCGAGAGUACCUGAAGAAAAAGCAUCGGCUAACUCCGUGCCAGCAGCCGCGGUAAUACGGAGGAUGCGAGCGUUAUCCGGAUUUAUUGGGUUUAAAGGGUGCGUAGGCGGAUUUUUAAGUCAGCGGUAAAAUGUCCGGGCUCAACCCGGGCCGGCCGUUGAAACUG